This 77-nucleotide transfer RNA is filed under the name Neotoma lepida (desert woodrat). It matches the Rfam family "tRNA". Rfam says of the family: Transfer RNA (tRNA) molecules are approximately 80 nucleotides in length. Their secondary structure includes four short double-helical elements and three loops (D, anti-codon, and T loops). Lineage: Eukaryota; Metazoa; Chordata; Mammalia; Rodentia; Cricetidae. The record is from Rfam by way of RNAcentral.
UGAGAUGUAGCUCAAUGGUACAGUACUUGCCUAGCAUGUGUGAGAACAUGGGUUGGGUUCAAUCCCCAGCAUUUCAA